Molecule: long non-coding RNA, 259 nt
Filed under: Macaca mulatta (Rhesus monkey)
Lineage: Eukaryota; Metazoa; Chordata; Mammalia; Primates; Cercopithecidae
Description: lncRNA (ENSMMUG00000051762.1)
Source: RNAcentral
GGCGGGGCCCCGGCGGCUGCUGCCGAGCGGCCGCCAUGCGAUCAGGCAGUGCGCUGACCGGCCCGGCCGGCCGGCCCCUUCUGGGUCCUCCCUUUGCAGCCCGUGCGGGGCCGUCUCGGAGACCCCGCGCCGACGGCUGCUCAAACAUCAGGCUGGCCCCCAAGAGGACCCUUACCAAGUCCCCAGCUGGGGGCCCCGCGUAGACCUGGAGUGGACACGCCCCUCCUUCCCUUCAUGAUUCGUUUGUAGCGCAGUGGCG